AAGUCGUAACAAGGUUUCCGUAGGUGAACCUGCGGAAGGAUCAUUAUUGAAUAAACCUGAUGUGGUUGUAGCUGGCUCUUUCGGGAGUAUGUGCACGCCCAUCAUCUUUAUAUCUCCACCUGUGCACCUUUUGUAGACACAAAGGAUUGAGAAAUCAAUCGUUUGGGUUUACGUUUUAUCAUAUACCCCAUAGUAUGUAUUAGAAUGAAUCAAUGGGCUUUGUGCCUAUAAACAUUAUACAACUUUCAGCAACGGAUCUCUUGGCUCUC
RNAcentral lists this unclassified non-coding RNA (269 nucleotides) under Psilocybe sp. RNAcentral describes it as "partial internal transcribed spacer region". The stretch from base 1 to 46 matches the Rfam family "Eukaryotic small subunit ribosomal RNA", at positions 1786 to 1831 of the family's 1831-position model. RNAcentral also lists the same sequence under 1 other name. The record is from RNAcentral. Lineage: Eukaryota; Fungi; Basidiomycota; Agaricomycetes; Agaricales; Agrocybaceae.